Heterocephalus glaber (naked mole-rat) is the source of this 71-nucleotide non-coding RNA. Lineage: Eukaryota; Metazoa; Chordata; Mammalia; Rodentia; Bathyergidae. The record is from Rfam.
AGCUUUGCACAGUGGCAGUAUCAUAGCCAAUGAAGUUUAUCCAAGGUGAGAUUAUUGCUAAUUGAGAAAAU